AACCUGGUUGAUCCUGCCAGUAGUCAUAUGCUUGUCUCAAGGAUUAAGCCAUGCAUGUCUAAGUAUAAAUCUUUAUACGGUGAAACUGCAGACGGCUCAUUACAAUAGUGAUAAACUAAUAGAUUUUCGGGUUUACCUUUUGGAUAACCGCAGUAAAUCGGGGCUAAUACAUAGAAGCGAGGGGUGACUGGCAACGGAAGCUCCGCGAUUAUUAGUUUAUUACCAAUCCCGCAAGGGCUAGUGGUGAAACCGAAUAAUAUUGCUGAUCGACAUGUAUUUGUCGACAAAUCUACUGUGUCACUACCCUAUCAACUUUCGAUGGUACGGUAUUGGCCUACCAUGGUUGUAACGGGUAACGGGGAAUCAGGAUUCGAUUCCGGAGAGGGAGCCUGAGAAAUGGCUACCACUUCUACGGAAGGCAGCAGGCGCGCAAAUUACUCAAUCCCAAUACGGGGAAGUAGCGACAAUAAAUAUUAAUGCCCAUCUAUUUUAUAGAGGGCAAUUAAAAUGGACAAAAUAUAAACUACAUAGUUAAUACAAUUGGAGGGCAAGUCUGGUGCCAGCAGCCGCGGUAAUUCCAGCUCCAAUAGCAUAUACUAAAGUUGUUGCAGUUAAAAAGCUCGUAGUUGAAAUUUGGGCUAUUAAGGGCUCAAACCAACAUCCACUUUAUAGUGUUUGUAUGGUUCCUUAUAGACUCAACUUGACUCAGUAUAGUCUACUUUUGUAGUUCUGUAUCUGAGUACUUCACUGUGAGAAAAUUGUGGUGUUUAAAGCAAGCGUAUCGCUUGAUCUUUUGCAGCAUGGUAUGAUAAAACAUGAUCUGCGUCAACCAUUGGUAGUUGACUGUAUGUAAUGAUUAAUAGGGGAGGAUGGGGAUGUUCAUAUUGAUGGGCGAGAGGUGAAAUUCGUUGACCCUAUCAAGAUGAACUUCUGCGAAAGCAUUCAUCAAAUACUCCCCCAUUAAUCAAGAACGAAAGUUUGGGGAUCAAAGACGUUCAGAUACCGUCGUAGUCCAAACUAUAAACGAUGUCGACCAGGGAUCAGCCGAUAUUUAUAAAAAUGCGGUUGGCACCUUGUGGGAAACCAUGAGUUUUUAGACUCUGGGGGAAGUAUGGUCGCAAGUCUGAAACUUAAAGGAAUUGACGGAAGGGCACACAAUGGAGUGGAGCCUGCGGCUUAAUUUGACUCAACUCGGGAAAACUUACCAAGCUAAGAUAUAGUUAGGAUUGACAGACUAAAAGAUCUUUCAUGAUUCUAUAAGUGGUGGUGCAUGGUCGUUCUUAGUUGGUGGAGCAAUCUGUCUGGUCAAUUCCGAUAACGGACGAGAUCUCGACCUGCUAACUAGUAUCACUUAUCAACCAAUAUAGUCGGUACCUUUUCCUAUGCUGACUUUGUUUACUCAGGGUGACGGGUGGGUUUAGAAUAUUGGCUGGUUAGAUAAGUGAGAUAAAAUUAAAACUUCUUAGAGGGACUACCUUGCGGUAAGCAGGUGGAAGUUCGAGGCAAUAACAGGUCUGUGAUGCCCUUAGAUA
RNAcentral lists this ribosomal RNA (1532 nucleotides) under Speleostelium caveatum. Its description in RNAcentral is "bacterial SSU rRNA". It matches the Rfam family "Eukaryotic small subunit ribosomal RNA", at positions 1 to 1479 of the family's 1831-position model. The record is from RNAcentral. Lineage: Eukaryota; Evosea; Eumycetozoa; Dictyosteliales; Raperosteliaceae.